GACGAACGCUGGCGGCGUGCCUAAUACAUGCCAGUAGAACGCUGAAGGAGGAGCUUGCUUCUCUGGAUGAGUUGCGAACGGGUGAGUAACGCGUAGGUAACCUGCCUGGUAGCGGGGGAUAACUAUUGGAAACGAUAGCUAAUACCGCAUAAUAUUGACUAUUGCAUGAUAGUCAGUUGAAAGGUGCAACUGCACCACUACCAGAUGGACCUGCGUUGUAUUAGCUAGUUGGUGGGGUAACGGCUCACCAAGGCGACGAUACAUAGCCGACCUGAGAGGGUGAUCGGCCACACUGGGACUGAGACACGGCCCAGACUCCUACGGGAGGCAGCAGUAGGGAAUCUUCGGCAAUGGACGGAAGUCUGACCGAGCAACGCCGCGUGAGUGAAGAAGGUUUUCGGAUCGUAAAGCUCUGUUGUAAGAGAAGAACGAGUGUGAGAGUGGAAAGCUCACACUGUGACGGUAUCUUACCAGAAAGGGACGGCUAACUACGUG
Molecule: ribosomal RNA, 495 nt
Filed under: uncultured bacterium
Lineage: Bacteria
Description: partial 16S ribosomal RNA
Rfam family: Bacterial small subunit ribosomal RNA
Source: RNAcentral